GACGAACGCUGGCGGCGUGCUUAACACAUGCAAGUCGAGCGGUAAGGCCCUUUCGGGGGUACACGAGCGGCGAACGGGUGAGUAACACGUGGGUGACCUGCCCUCAGCUCUGGGAUAAGCCUGGGAAACCGGGUCUAAUACCGGAUAUGACUCCAUGACGCAUGUUGUGGGGUGGAAAGCCUUGUGCGGCUGAGGAUGGGCCCGCGGCCUAUCAGCUUGUUGGUGGGGUGANGGCCUACCAAGGCGACGACGGGUAGCCGGCCUGAGAGGGCGACCGGCCACACUGGGACUGAGACACGGCCCAGACUCCUACGGGAGGCAGCAGGUGGGGAAUCUUGCGCAAGUGGGACGGAAGCCUGACGCAGCGACGCCGC
RNAcentral lists this ribosomal RNA (374 nucleotides) under uncultured bacterium. RNAcentral describes it as "bacterial SSU rRNA". It matches the Rfam family "Bacterial small subunit ribosomal RNA", at positions 28 to 400 of the family's 1533-position model. The record is from RNAcentral.